UCACAACUUGGUUUGCACGACAUUUAAAGAGCAUCUGUAGUUUGCAAUAGAAAAAGGAAGUCAGAUCUUUGACGGAGUAGCGGUGGCGGAUCCACAUCAGUUAGGCUGAUUGCAGCAAAGGAUCGGAAUAUCUCUUCCAUUGAAAAAGGAGAGACCUGAAUAUUGCCAAAAAUUAGUUGAGAAGCAUUGGGAAAUAUCUACUCUGACACAUAAAAGCAUGGAAAGCUAGCAAAGAGUAUAUUUAUGCUUACAUUAUUCUCUGACAUUAUACUCAAGAAGCACGGAUAGAGCUUACCUUGAAGCGGAUACCAAUGGAAGAGAACUUGGAUUGCUUGGAUGUCUCUUCAGGUAAUGGAGGGAAAAGAUUAGCAACAAAAGGGCAUUUGGAUGCAUUUAACAAGGCUUGAUGCUCUGCUACGACAUAAUCUUUAUUUUUAUCAAGAAAUUGAUCAGCUUGGUACGUAACCUGUUUACAAAUGGCUCAACAGACAAUUUUAGAUUGUCCAGCUGGAUGGUCAAGAAUAAAAUUCAAAUUAUAGCUUACAUCUCCUGCAUAGUGAUUGAUUGUGAAGUCUGUUCGAGCAAGUUUUGGCUUGCUGAAGCGUCUGUGUCCCUUGUAUGUCUGGUACAUCUUCUGUGCAAAUGUCUCAUGAGUUGACUUUGGAAACAUGCUGCAUCAGAAAUAAUCCUGUGCUUAUAUCCAAAUGAUUACAGGAAUACUGUUUUUCAUGUCUAACUGGAGAUGGUGCAAGAUUCAGGCCUUUUUUUCCCCCUAAAUUUAAGUUUUGGGGACUAGAUAUUUUAUUGCAUGAGCUAUCAUGUAGAACCCUUUUAUGCAACGGUUUGAUCAUUUUUUAGAAGGUUAACCAUUUCAUUGCUAGAUCAGUGUCUCUCUCUCUCUCUCUCUCUCUUUGAAAUUAUAGGAUUUAUGAUGUUGCAAGUAGGAAAACUACAUACCAGGCCUCAUCAAGAAGGGCUAUUAUACCCCCAGGUUUCUGCAGGCAAGGACAUAAAAUUAUUUCUCAAGAUGUCAUAAACACAAUACAUUAGUUUGAUAUUACAAUUGUCUUCUAAUAACCAGUACCUUCUCAAUGAGAUCCAAAACAUCCUGGUUAUCUACAAAUUCAACGUAGCUCCAAUUUAUUUCCUCUCUUGUAUACUCUUCUUGCUCCAUCUUAAAUACGUGCUGUGGGUAAAGAUCCAUGAGUGCUUAAGAACAAAUGUAUGCAUGGAUUGAAAUUAUUCAUAGGAAUUCUCUCUACCUGGUUAAAAUGUUGUUGCAACUUCUCAUUUGUUAGGUUGAUGCAUAGCUGUUCAAAACUACCAAAUACAAUAGAUUAGAUUUUCCUGUUAAAAAUGUCUAUUUAUUAGAAACACAGUUUCCACCAGCACCUGUUAAUCUUGAAGCUUUCAAAGCCAUAAAUAUCAAGAACUCCAAUUAUACUUGUCGCAUUGGGAUCUUGACCUAUUGAAUUGUUAAUCUUAUCCACAAUCCUGCAAUAGUCAAUGACUCCUUGUGUUCACUCCUUGUUUAAUGAGAUAAAAAUUGUUUUCAAAAAUAUGACUCAAACUGAAGCUUGUGACUGCUGUUUGAGAGAAAUCAUGUUGCCAACAUCUAUUCUGCUCAAAAGUAACUGAGCUGUAAUGUUAUGUUCAGAGACUGUCACAUUGCUUUAUUUGUGUUACUGGCUUACUCUCUACAUAUUGUUAGUAAUUAUAGUCUGGUUGAGUGAUAUUGAUUUUCUUACCAAUCAAACAGCCUAGAGUACACAGUCUUAGCUAAGGCAUCACGACUCAAGGCAGCUAAGUCUGGGUCCAGAGGUUUUGUAAUGUUUCCAUCAGGAGUCACUAUGACACGCUUGCAAAUUAGCAGAUGGUAGCGUGCUUUCUCAUCUUUGAGUUUGGAAGAAUCCGUUUCUUUCCCUUUGAUGAAGUCAAUAUUUCCAAGAUGAAGGAUUGCAGCAACUACACGGAAUAUUGCAUCCUACCGAAGAGAAAUGAACCUCAGGUAUGUGGAAUGUCUUUAUGCCGAAAGGAAAUUUCAAAUCCAUAAUUUGUUCCUGUACUAAUGUAAAGGAUCAACACCUGUUCAUCCUGGCUGAUCCCUACAAUAUCCAUUGCAUUUCUGGUCUCCAGAUACUCUCUGGCAUCAUCUACAUUUGCCACUUGAUAACAGUUGGAUUGGUUUAAAUAGUGGAAUUCUCUUGGAUCCCCUAACUUGAAUUUUUUGACAUCCUGAUAGGAAACAUCAGUCAGCUGGCUUUCCCAUGACUAUUAUUUAUAACUUGGCUGGAGUUGAAAAAAAAAUGUAUAAAAUUACCUCUGGUGGUGCUGCACAAAGCAUGUAAAAACAAUGAUAGUUUCUCUCAGGGUCAGAAACUUGGCAAACACGUGACCUUUCAAGAAGGUAAGUGCGAACUGCAGCUCCAGAGAUUUUUCCUUGCUUAUCAAACUGUAUCUCAACAAACUUACCAAAACGACUGGUUGAACCACCCAAUUUGUAAUUGUAAGUUCAACUAAUAUAGAAACGGAAAAUUUUAUUUUUGGGGGAAAAAGGAUAGUAGAGUUAAAUGGAGCAUCAAAAUUUCACCUGGAAUUGUUGUUUUUCACAGUUUUAGCAUUCCCAAAUGCUUCCAAGACUGGAUUUGACUGGACGAGUGGAAAUAUAACUAUGCAUUCCAUUGGUGGAAUCAUAUAAUAGUCAGAUAGUGUCACAUUUCUAACUUACCUCCAAAACUUGUUGUUCUACAGUUCUUCCUUCUGUGACUGAUCUGCCCCCCAUGAACGCAAGGUAUCUCAUAAGCAUCUUUGUUGUCUCUGUUUUACCAGCUCCACUCUCCCCACUUACCAAAAUGGACUGGCUUUCCUGUUCGUUCAUCAUUGCUCUGAUGCAUAAAUUUAUUAUAUUAGCUUUAUAUUAUGACAUGAUUUGAUGCAGUUUGUUUUGUGCUUAUAUACUAUACCUGUAACAAGUGUCUGCCACAGCAAAAAGGUGUGGACUCAGCUCCCCAAAAGCUGCUCCUUUGUACUGCUCCAUCAUGUGAAUAUUGUACAAAUGUGGCAGUCUUUGAAAAGGAUUCACAGCAAUUAGAAUGUUCCCAGUGUAAGUCUGCUUAUUUCAGGACUGGUUAUCAGUAUUGUGGUUUGUUGAUAGCAUCUUUAGUUUUCAAGGCUAAGCAAUUUCACAGAGAUGUAAAUUAGGUCAAUGUUGACUCACAUAUAUCUCAUUUAGAGCAAACCGACAAGCAAGGUUAUGUAAAACCCCUGGUUCAUGGAGGUAAGCCAAUUUGGUCAUGUCAUCAACUCCUGCUGGCGGUGCCUCUGUGUCUUUCGGAUAUAUGCUGGAAAUAUCUGCAACGAACUGGAGUUGAGGGCGGUCAACGUGGUUGCAAGGGAUCAAUACGCUGAAAGCAUGCCUAACUGAAGGACACUGCUGCCCCUUGUUUUGAUCAGCCUUGAAUUUUGGAGCGUUUCCAGAACAUUUUUUUGUUUUUAACAACAUCGUGACUGAAUUCUGAAGGGAGACUAGUGAUGGAAUUAGAGCCUACUGGAAACGCAUGCCCAUUUUCUCACACGCAAACGCAAGAGAAGAUGCGUACGGUAGGUUUAGCAGCAUUGUUUCGUGGGCAAACUACACGCCAAUACGCCAUACCCAUACAUUUUGGAGGUACGAUAUAUUUUUGUUAGUCAAUGACAUAAUGGACAGUUUGGUGAUUCUGAUUGUGAAGAUUAAAAGGGGCAGAUGACAACUAGAAUGGAAAUGAUGGAUGUGGACCACACAUCUUAUUUUUAACAAGUCUCACUUGAUCUGAUUUUAUUCAUUUUACAUA
Hevea brasiliensis (rubber tree) is the source of this 3830-nucleotide long non-coding RNA. RefSeq lists it as uncharacterized. The record is from RefSeq and is a predicted model, not a curated record. NCBI's taxonomy places the organism in Eukaryota, Viridiplantae, Streptophyta, Magnoliopsida, Malpighiales, Euphorbiaceae. The transcript is spliced from 5 exons.